RNAcentral lists this ribosomal RNA (828 nucleotides) under Tandonia kusceri. RNAcentral describes it as "partial 16S ribosomal RNA". The stretch from base 299 to 828 matches the Rfam family "Archaeal large subunit ribosomal RNA", at positions 1423 to 2685 of the family's 2987-position model. Lineage: Eukaryota; Metazoa; Mollusca; Gastropoda; Stylommatophora; Milacidae. The record is from RNAcentral.
GUUUAAAGAUCUAAUUUUUAUAAUUUUUUUUAGAAAAUAAUAAUAUAAUGUUUCAAAAUUAUAAAAUGAUAAAUAAUUAGAAGUGAAAGGCUAACCAUUUUAAACGAUAUCUGGAUUAACUUUAAAUGUAUUUAGUACAGAUUAUAAUUUUAAUAUAAAAAUGUUAAGGUUUUUAUAUGUAAGAAUUUUUUUUAAAAUUUAAAAGAGGAUUAAUAUCUCACUUAUUGUUAAAUUACUAAUAAAUUAAAUAUUAAUCUUUUUGUUAAGGUUAAAUUAAAAGGAACUAUCUUUCUUAAUUUACUAUGUUUAAAUAAGUAUUUGUAUCAUUCCUAAUUAAGGAACUCGGCAAAAUAAUUACUCAACUGUUUAUCAAAAACAUAGCAUAAUGAUAUUAUAUUAUGUAAGGCCUGCCCGGUGAAUUUUUAACGGCCGCAGUAUUUUGACUGUGCUAAGGUAGCAUAAUAAGUUGGCUUUUAAUUGAAGUCUUGUAUUAAUGGAUUUAUGGGUAAACACUGUCUUGAUUAGGGUUAUAAAAAAUUACUUUAAAAGGUGAAAAUUCCUUUAUAUUUUAAUUAGACGAGAAGACCCUUGGAGUUUAUUUAACAUGAAAAAAUGUAAUAUUUUGUUGGGGCGACAACGUAGCAUUUAACCUACGAUUUUAUAUAGUAUUUAACGAUUUUUAAUAAUAAGAAUUAAACUACCCUAGGGAUAACAGCAUAAUUUUUUAAAAGUUUGUGACCUCGAUGUUGGACUAGGAAAUUUUAACAUUAACAAUGUUAAAAAUUUGUUCUGUUCGAACUUUUGUUCCUACAUGAUCUGAGUUCAGAC